UAAUACGUAGGGGGCAAGCGUUGUCCGGAAUCAUUGGGCGUAAAGCGCGUGUAGGCGGUCCGAUAAGUCGGUUGUGAAAGUCAAGGGCUCAACCCUUGAAUGCCGACCGAUACUGUCGGGCUAGAGUCCGGAAGAGGUGAGUGGAAUUCCUGGUGUAGCGGUGAAAUGCGCAGAUAUCAGGAGGAACACCAAUGGCGAAGGCAGCUCACUGGGACGGUACUGACGCUGAGACGCGAAAGCGUGGGGAGCAAACAGGAUUAGAUACCCUGGUAGUCCACGCCGUAAACGAUGGGCACUAGGUGUGGGAGGUGUCGACUCCUCCCGUGCCGAAGCUAACGCAUUAAGUGCCCCGCCUGGGGAGUACGGCCGCAAGGCUA
Molecule: ribosomal RNA, 377 nt
Filed under: uncultured bacterium
Lineage: Bacteria
Description: bacterial SSU rRNA
Rfam family: Bacterial small subunit ribosomal RNA
Source: RNAcentral